This 985-nucleotide long non-coding RNA is filed under the name Homo sapiens (human). RNAcentral's name for it is "HSALNT0404042". Lineage: Eukaryota; Metazoa; Chordata; Mammalia; Primates; Hominidae. The record is from RNAcentral.
GGCACUCCUGAGUCACAGGCUCAGAAGCUUUCGCCUCCGCCUUCAGACUGGCCCUCAGGCUUCCCUGCUCAGAGGCAGGGAAUUGUGCAGCUGGAGUUUCAUUUUCCAAGAGGCAGGGUCUCAGUCUGUCACCCAGGCUGGAGUACAGUGGCACCAUCUUGGCUCACUCUAGCCUCGACCUCCUGGGCUCAAGUGAGCCUCCUACCUCAGUCUCCCAAAAUGCUGGGAUUACAAGCAUGAACCACUGUGACUUGCCUUCUUGGCAAUUUUAAAUGAAAGAAGAAGAUGGAAUAAUGCCUACUGAGGACUAUGUUUGAGGGGUGUUGUAUGACCCCGUUUUCCAUACCCAGCCAACUUGUCAUGUGACAAGUCCACAGAAAGAUGUUAUAUGACAGGAAUCUAUGAACUAGUCUUCCCUGAAAUGUACCUGACUACAGCUAACAUCAUAUCACAUGAUGAAAGACCGCGUUGUUUUCCCCUGAGGUUGGCACAAACUCCAACAGGCCCCAAACGAGCUGAGAAAAUAUCCAACUUCAAAGGUUUUGCACAAAUCAUCUUAAAGGCCUGACCUAAGCCCGGAAAGCCGGAACGAAGCCCAGAAAUCAGUCCUCAUUUCAUCGCCGUUUAGCCAAGACACCUUUCCCGUCCACAGAUCACAUCUGCCCCCUUCUGCCCCCGCCCAGGUCCCAACCACCUUGAGACACCUGCGUGAUCCAUCCUCAAAGCAAUGAGUUAGGAGCCGCACUCCUGGUCCUUGGCCGGUGGCUUCAGUGUUAUUCCGGGGGGCUGGGUGGGGGCACCUGUGGGGACUGCCCCGUGAGGCUGUGGUUUAAUUUCCUUUGCUACUUUCCUUAGCUCUUCAGUCUCAGUCUCAGCCACUGAAAUGUGUCUUGGCCACUGGUGGUACAGCACAGGGUGACACUGUUGUCAGCGAGAGGAAGAUGCUUUUUUUUUUUUUGAGAUGGAGUUUUGCUCUGUUGCCCAG